CCUACGGGUGGCAGCAGUGGGGGAUAUUGCACAAUGGGGGAAACCCUGAUGCAGCGACGCCGCGUGUGGGAAGACGGUCCUCUGGAUUGUAAACCACUGUCCCCAGGGACGAAGAUGACGGUACCUGGGGAGGAAGCUCCGGCUAACUACGUGCCAGCAGCCGCGGUAAUACGUAGGGAGCGAGCGUUGUCCGGAAUUACUGGGUGUAAAGGGAGCGUAGGCGGGACUGCAAGUUGGGUGUCAAAUCUACCGGCUCAACCGGUAGCCGCACUCAAAACUGCAGUUCUUGAGUGAAGUAGAGGCAGGCGGAAUUCCUAGUGUAGCGGUGAAAUGCGUAGAUAUUAGGAGGAACACCAGGGGCGAAGGCGGCCUGCUGGGCUUUUACUGACGCUGAGGCUCGAAAGUGUGGGGAGCGAACAGGAUUAGAUACCCUUGUAGUC
This 440-nucleotide ribosomal RNA is filed under the name uncultured bacterium. RNAcentral's name for it is "partial 16S ribosomal RNA". It matches the Rfam family "Bacterial small subunit ribosomal RNA", at positions 338 to 795 of the family's 1533-position model. The record is from RNAcentral.